This 1092-nucleotide ribosomal RNA is filed under the name uncultured bacterium. Its description in RNAcentral is "bacterial SSU rRNA". It matches the Rfam family "Bacterial small subunit ribosomal RNA", at positions 1 to 1104 of the family's 1533-position model. The record is from RNAcentral.
GGAUCCAGACUUUGAUUAUGGCUCAGGACGAACGCUGGCGGCGUGCUUAACACAUGCAAGUCAAGGGGGCCCGCAAGGGUAACCGGCGAACGGGUGCGUAACACGUGAGCAAUCUGCCUAGAUGUGGGGGAUAGCCGGCCCAACGGCCGGGUAAUACCGCAUACGCUCUCUGGCUGGCAUCGGCUGGAGAGGAAACAUUCGUGGCAUCUAGAGGAGCUCGCGGCCUAUCAGCUAGUUGGUGGGGUAACGGCCUACCAAGGCUUUGACGGGUAGCUGGUCUGAGAGGAUGGCCAGCCACAUUGGGACUGAGAUACGGCCCAGACUCCUACGGGAGGCAGCAGUGGGGAAUAUUGCGCAAUGGCCGAAAGGCUGACGCAGCGACGCCGCGUGGGGGAUGAAGCAUUUCGGUGUGUAAACCCCUGUUGCUCGGGACGAACAAUCGGCUUUAGCCGAUCUGACGGUACCGGGUGAGGAAGCACCGGCUAACUCCGUGCCAGCAGCCGCGGUAAUACGGAGGGUGCGAGCGUUGUCCGGAAUCACUGGGCGUAAAGGGCGCGUAGGCGGUCUGUUAAGCGUGCGGUGAAAGCCUGGGGCUCAACCCCAGGUCUGCCGUGCGAACUGGUGGACUAGAGCACUGUAGAGGCAGGUGGAAUUCCGGGUGUAGCGGUGGAAUGCGUAGAGAUCCGGAAGAACACCGGUGGCGAAGGCGGCCUGCUGGGCAGUUGCUGACGCUGAGGCGCGACAGCGUGGGGAGCAAACAGGAUUAGAUACCCUGGUAGUCCACGCCGUAAACGAUGGGCACUAGGUGCUUGGGGGAGCGACCCCCCGAGUGCCGGCGCUAACGCAUUAAGUGCCCCGCCUGGGGAGUACGACCGCAAGGUUGAAACUCAAAGGAAUUGACGGGGGCCCGCACAAGCGGUGGAGCAUGUGGUUUAAUUCGACGCAACGCGAAGAACCUUACCUAGGCUUGACAUGCAUGGGAAAGCCUCUGGAAACAGGGGCCCCUCUUCGGAGCUCAUGCACAGGUGCUGCAUGGCUGUCGUCAGCUCGUGUCGUGAGAUGUUGGGUUAAGUCCCGCAACGAGCGCAACCC